This 252-nucleotide ribosomal RNA is filed under the name Pseudomonas sp. HMSC064G05. Its description in RNAcentral is "partial 16S ribosomal RNA". It matches the Rfam family "Bacterial small subunit ribosomal RNA", at positions 1249 to 1500 of the family's 1533-position model. Lineage: Bacteria; Pseudomonadati; Pseudomonadota; Gammaproteobacteria; Pseudomonadales; Pseudomonadaceae. The record is from RNAcentral.
GCUACACAGCGAUGUGAUGCUAAUCUCAAAAAGCCGAUCGUAGUCCGGAUUGGAGUCUGCAACUCGACUCCAUGAAGUCGGAAUCGCUAGUAAUCGCGGAUCAGAAUGCCGCGGUGAAUACGUUCCCGGGCCUUGUACACACCGCCCGUCACACCAUGGGAGUUUGUUGCACCAGAAGUAGCUAGCCUAACUGCAAAGAGGGCGGUUACCACGGUGUGGCCGAUGACUGGGGUGAAGUCGUAACAAGGUAGC